Molecule: small RNA, 17 nt
Filed under: Arabidopsis thaliana (thale cress)
Lineage: Eukaryota; Viridiplantae; Streptophyta; Magnoliopsida; Brassicales; Brassicaceae
Description: ATSL062930
Source: RNAcentral
UUUUUGUUUUGUUUUUG